Molecule: ribosomal RNA, 496 nt
Filed under: uncultured bacterium
Lineage: Bacteria
Description: partial 16S ribosomal RNA
Rfam family: Bacterial small subunit ribosomal RNA
Source: RNAcentral
GAUGAACGCUGGCGGCGUGCCUAAUACAUGCAAGUCGAGCGAACAGACGAGGAGCUUGCUCCUCUGACGUUAGCGGCGGACGGGUGAGAACACGUGGGUAACCUACCUAUAAGACUGGGAUAACUUCGGGAAACCGGAGCUAAUACCGGAUAAUAUAUUGAACCGCAUGGUUCAAUAGUGAAAGACGGUUUUGCUGUCACUUAUAGCUGGAUCCGCGCCGCAUUAGCUAGUUGGUAAGGUAACGGCUUACCAAGGCAACGAUGCGUAGCCGACCUGAGAGGGUGAUCGGCCACACUGGAACUGAGACACGGUCCAGACUCCUACGGGAGGCAGCAGUAGGGAAUCUUCCGCAAUGGGCGAAAGCCUGACGGAGCAACGCCGCGUGAGUGAUGAAGGUCUUCGGAUCGUAAAACUCUGUUAUUAGGGAAGAACAAAUGUGUAAGUAACUAUGCACGUCUUGACGGUACCUAAUCAGAAAGCCACGGCUAACUACGUG